UCUGAAUCCCAGCGUUGAUUUUUUCACAAAU
RNAcentral lists this non-coding RNA (31 nucleotides) under Rattus norvegicus (Norway rat). The record is from RNAcentral. Lineage: Eukaryota; Metazoa; Chordata; Mammalia; Rodentia; Muridae.